UGACUGCUGUGGCCCUGCGACCUGACUGCCACCUUCCAGGACUCUAGCCCUGGCUCCUUCUAACCUUCUCGCCCCUCAGUGCCCCAGAGAGGCUGCUAUGCGGACAAUUAUUCAUCAGCCGGAAGAAAAGGAGGGUCUCGCUGUGUCGCCCAGGCUGGAGUGCAGUGGUGUGAUCUUGUCUCACUGCAACCUCCGCCUCCCGCGUUCAAGCGAUUUUCGUGCCUCAGCCUCCCGAGGAGCUGGAUCUACAGGUGCGCACCACCACGCCUGGAUAAUUUCUGUAUUUUUAGUAGAGACGGGGUUUCACCAUGUUUGCCAGGCUUGUCUCGAACUGUUGACCUCAAGUUAUCCUCCCGCCUCCGCCUCUUAAAGUGCUGGGAUUACAGGCCUGAGCCUCCGCGCCAGUCCUACACGUUGGAUCUUUUCCCAGACCUCCUCCUCAGACGUGGAGCGUACAGAUGAUGCUCCAUCGGUUACUCUGAUCCUGACUUUGGGACUGCCAGAUAAAACUGGGAGAAACCCUACAUUUACUCUUACUGUAACGUAUUGGCUUGAAACUGCAGGUCAGAACCCAUUUAUGUUGAGACCAAAAGACUUUUUUUCCAAGUAGAAUGAAAUAGAAUAAAAUAGAAUUGAAAAUA
Pan troglodytes (chimpanzee) is the source of this 641-nucleotide long non-coding RNA. RefSeq lists it as uncharacterized. NCBI's taxonomy places the organism in Eukaryota, Metazoa, Chordata, Mammalia, Primates, Hominidae. The transcript is spliced from 2 exons. The record is from RefSeq and is a predicted model, not a curated record.